GAGUCGUGCAACAUCAAUGGAAAAAGGCAACCAGAACGAAUUUUGGCAGCUAUCUGAGAAAGCCUCUCUAGCUUGGUUCUCCACUGCAGUAGUACCAUGUACUAUGUGUGCUACAUUUGGAAGUUCUGGUUUAGAUGCAAUCCCAGUGGUGCAUGGCAUGCUCUGCUUUUGUCAUGGUGGACUCCUGAUACUUCAUCUGAACUGCUUCUAGUGUUGGGGAGUGGUGAACUACAUGUAGUUCAACUGGUAAUUUAAGUAGAUUUUGCAGUAGCUGGUGGUAGUUAAACUAAAUUCAAAUCUUGUUAGUGUUUUCAGUAGUUAAACUACUGGAACUACAUAAUACUUUUUGAGCUAAAAUAAAGUGUG
This 366-nucleotide long non-coding RNA is filed under the name Salmo salar (Atlantic salmon). RNAcentral describes it as "lncRNA (ENSSSAG00000109401.1)". The record is from RNAcentral. Lineage: Eukaryota; Metazoa; Chordata; Actinopteri; Salmoniformes; Salmonidae.